AUUCUGCCCAUGCGGGGAAGGAUGAGAAGCUUCGACCAAGGUUCGACUCGAGCGCCAGCGAGAGAGCGUUGCCGCAGGCAACGAC
Molecule: small RNA, 85 nt
Filed under: Escherichia coli
Lineage: Bacteria; Pseudomonadati; Pseudomonadota; Gammaproteobacteria; Enterobacterales; Enterobacteriaceae
Description: partial RtT sRNA
Rfam family: RtT RNA
About the family: This family represents a bacterial cis-regulatory element known as RtT RNA. The exact function of RtT is unknown although it is thought that it may be involved in changing the cellular response in relation to amino acid starvation.
Source: RNAcentral